Long non-coding RNA from Anthonomus grandis grandis, 743 nucleotides. RefSeq lists it as uncharacterized. The transcript is spliced from 2 exons. Lineage: Eukaryota; Metazoa; Arthropoda; Insecta; Coleoptera; Curculionidae. The record is from RefSeq and is a predicted model, not a curated record.
CUGAAUUAGGACAUUUUAAGAUAAGGUCAUUUAGUGAUAAUCAUAAAUUGUAUUGUGUAAAUUAUAAUGAGGUUUGUAAUGAGGACUGUAGGGCAAUGUAUUGUGAGAAGUGUAAAAUAUGUAAACAUAAAUAUAAUUGUGAUUGUCCAGAAUAUACUGUUAAAAGUGUCAUGUGUAAGCAUAUACAUGCUGUAGCUUUAUUUGAGCAGAGGAGCGAAUAUGUUUCAGGUUUCAUGGAUGAAAUGCAAGAAGAUAAUAAUCUGUAUGUUAAUGAACCUUCAACAAGCAAGGCAGUUUAUGAGGAUGAAGUAAAUCAUUUUCUUGACGAGACUGAAAAUAGAAUGAAUGUGACAAUUGAUUUUGAAAGAAAGCGUGAGAUUUGUCUAGAACAGUUUUGCUCUGAAAUUCGUAAUUGUGAUGGUGGAUUGGGUGAACAUAAUUUAGAAAAAUUUAUGGGUGAUUUUAGAAAUUUUAUGCAGACAGUAAAACAAAAAGAAAUGGUGAUAAGUAAAAAAACAAAAAACCUAAAUAAAUUUAUUUAUAAUAAAAUGUUUAUAACUAUUUCAUUACUGAAUGACAUUGCUUUUGUGAGUGACCUAUUCUGGUAUUAUAUCUAAGUGGUGUUGGCUAUUUGUAUUCAUGUAAUUCGUUGGCUUAUGGUGAAGGAUACUUAUAAAAUAUAUUUUUUUAAUUUUAAUUUUGCCUUUGUUAUAAUUAACUAAUAUAUUAGUGUUUGUUUCAUA